Molecule: ribosomal RNA, 443 nt
Filed under: uncultured bacterium
Lineage: Bacteria
Description: partial 16S ribosomal RNA
Rfam family: Bacterial small subunit ribosomal RNA
Source: RNAcentral
CCUACGGGAGGCAGCAGUGGGGAAUAUUGCUCAAUGGGCGAAAGCCUGAUCCAGCAACGCCGCGUGAAGGAAGACGGCUUUCGGAUUGUUAACUUCUUUUAAUAGGGAAGAAAGAAAUGACGGUACCUAAAUAUGAAGCCCCGCCUAACUACGUGCCAGCAGCACCGGUAAUACGGAGGGGGCAAGCGUUAUCCGGAAUUACUGGGUGUAAAGGGAGAGUAGGCGGAAAGGUAAGCGAAAUGUGAAAGCCGUAAGCUUAACUUAAGGAUUGCAUAACGAACUAUCUAGCUAGAGUGCAGGAGAGGUAAGCGGAAUUCCUAGUGUAGCGGUGAAAUGCGUAGAUAUUAGGAAGAACACCAGUGGCGAAGGCGGCUUUCUGGACUGAAACUGACGCUGAGGCUCGAAAGCAUGGGGAGCGAACAGGAUUAGAUACCCGUGUAGUC